This 665-nucleotide long non-coding RNA is filed under the name Mus spicilegus (steppe mouse). RNAcentral's name for it is "lncRNA (ENSMSIG00000006239.1)". The record is from RNAcentral. Lineage: Eukaryota; Metazoa; Chordata; Mammalia; Rodentia; Muridae.
ACCAACCUGAAACUGGAAAAGGAGGUCUGAACUGUUUCCAGAGGGAGCAGAAUUGGGGUCGGGACAAAUAGAAUGUCUGCAGGCUCUCACCGGUGGGCUCGCACCCACCCUCCCACACCAGAAGGAAAUGCACAAAGGCCUAUUUUCUGACUUCCCAUUUCCCCCCUGGGGAAACCCUGCCUCAGGCAGUCUGAGUCAGGCCGUAUAACUGGUUGGGUUUUGCCCAAGGGUGCGUGAAGUAGGGUAGGUGACCAGGACAGACUCCCAUAGCCCAUAGCUCUGCCUUUGAGGAUGCUAUCAGAGGAGAACUUUGUGCAGUACCCGAAGGCGGUCACCAGAAGCAAGGAGUUCUAGGUUUUGGAGCGUCAGGGAGAACGAGGGAGAACCACUAACUGACACCUGGGAAAUCCCUGCAAAAUAGUGGAAGUGAAAGAUGGUGGGAGGGCAUGGAAGAGCAAAGUACAGCGUCAAACUCGACAGUCUCAGCCCAGGGAGGCUCGGUGGCCGCAAACAGCGCCUGCCUCCGGGUCUGCAGCAGCAGUCAUAGCAGCAGCAGAAGCAGCAGCAGCGGGAUCCGAAAGUCCGGCGGGGCUGAGGGCCCAGAAAGAAGAAGAAGGUCCUGGCUGCUCAGCUACUUGGUGGCCCCCAUCCUGGCAAGCCGAUGA